RNAcentral lists this ribosomal RNA (836 nucleotides) under uncultured bacterium. Its description in RNAcentral is "bacterial SSU rRNA". It matches the Rfam family "Bacterial small subunit ribosomal RNA", at positions 28 to 896 of the family's 1533-position model. The record is from RNAcentral.
GACGAACGCUGGCGGCGUGCCUAAUGCAUGCAAGUCGCACGCAGUCACUUCGGUGGCUGAGUGGCGCACGGCUGAGGAACACGUGAGCACCUGCCCUCUUGUGGGGGAUAACAGCGCGAAAGCGCUGCUAAUCCCGCAUACGAUCCCGCAAGGGAUGAAAGCGGCAACGCGCAGGAGGAGGGGCUUGCGGCCUAUCAGGUUGUUGGUGUGGUAACGGCGCACCAAGCCGAUGACGGGUAGCUGGUCUGUGAGGACAACCAGCCAGACUGGGACUGAGACACGGCCCAGACUCCUACGGGAGGCAGCAGCAAGGAAUUUUCCCUAUUGGGCGCAAGCCUGAGGGAGCAACGCCGCGUGCAGGAUGACGGCCUUCGGGUUGUAAACUGCUUUUCGGGGGGGCGAUGAUGACGGUACCCCCGGAAUAAGCCCCGGCUAACUCUGUGCCAGCAGCCGCGGUAAGACAGAGGGGGCAAGCGUUGUCCGGACUUACUGGGCGUAAAGCGCACGCAGGCGGUCACAGGCGUCGGUGCUGAAAGCGCACCGCUUAACGGUGCAACGCGUGCCGAUACGCUGUGACUGGAGCCAUGCAGAGGCCAGUGGAAUUGCCGGUGUAGUGGUGAAAUGCGUAGAGAUCGGCAGGAACACCCAAGGGGAAGCCAGCUGGCUGGGCAUCGGCUGACGCUCAUGUGCGACAGCGUGGGGAGCGAACUGGAUUAGAUACCCAGGUAGUCCACGCCGUAAACGAUGGACGCUCGGUGUUUGGCGGGUAAUCAGUCCCGCUGGGCGCCUCAGCUAACGCGCAAGCGUCCCGCCUGGGAACUACGAGCGCAAGCUUA